This 301-nucleotide ribosomal RNA is filed under the name uncultured bacterium. RNAcentral's name for it is "partial 16S ribosomal RNA". It matches the Rfam family "Bacterial small subunit ribosomal RNA", at positions 509 to 807 of the family's 1533-position model. The record is from RNAcentral.
CAGUAGCCGCGGUAAGACGAACCGUGCGAACGUUAUUCGGAAUCACUGGGCUUAAAGCGCGUGUAGGCGGGUCGGCACGUCGGCCGUUGAAAUCCCCCGGCUCAACCGGGGAAGCGGCGCCGAUACGGCCGGCCUCGAGGGACGUAGGGGGGGCUGGAACUUCCGGUGGAGCGGUGAAAUGCGUUGAGAUCGGAAGGAACGCCCGUGGCGAAAGCGAGCCCCUGGACGUCUACUGACGCUGAGACGCGAAAGCCAGGGGAGCGAACGGGAUUAGAUACCCCUGUAGUCCCUGUCUCUUAUA